Molecule: long non-coding RNA, 228 nt
Organism: Amblyraja radiata (thorny skate)
Lineage: Eukaryota; Metazoa; Chordata; Chondrichthyes; Rajiformes; Rajidae
Exons: 2
Source: RefSeq, a predicted model, not a curated record
AAAGAAACAAAUCAGUUUAAUAUUAAAUGUUGUAAUAUUAGCGGUUUCUGUAGUAAUAAAGGACAAACAAUUUAAGUCAACUCAUGAUUGGUGCAGUGGACACCAAUCAAAAUUCUAGGAAACUGGAAAUAAAGCUAAAACACUAGGUCAGGCAGUAUGUGUGAAAGGAAACAUUAACAUUUUGGGUUGAUGGCUGCUGUUGGAAAAGGAAGUGUUGGAAAAUGAAUU